RNAcentral lists this ribosomal RNA (253 nucleotides) under uncultured bacterium. Its description in RNAcentral is "partial 16S ribosomal RNA". It matches the Rfam family "Bacterial small subunit ribosomal RNA", at positions 524 to 776 of the family's 1533-position model. The record is from RNAcentral.
UACGGAGGGUGCAAGCGUUAUCCGGAUUCAUUGGGUUUAAAGGGUGCGUAGGCGGGCUAUUAAGUCAGUGGUGAAAUCUUGCGGCUCAACCGUAAAACUGCCAUUGAAACUGAUAGUCUUGAGUUUACUGGAGGUAGGCGGAAUAUGUAGUGUAGCGGUGAAAUGCUUAGAUAUUACAUAGAACACCGAUUGCGAAGGCAGCUUACUAUAGUAACACUGACGCUGAUGCACGAAAGCGUGGGGAGCGAACAGG